This 45-nucleotide non-coding RNA is filed under the name Schistosoma mansoni. Lineage: Eukaryota; Metazoa; Platyhelminthes; Trematoda; Strigeidida; Schistosomatidae. The record is from RNAcentral.
AUACGGAUGACGAGUCUCAAAUUGGACGAAACGCGCGUCCUAGAU